RNAcentral lists this unclassified non-coding RNA (1160 nucleotides) under Hevea brasiliensis (rubber tree). The record is from RNAcentral. Lineage: Eukaryota; Viridiplantae; Streptophyta; Magnoliopsida; Malpighiales; Euphorbiaceae.
CGCGGCUUGGCCGGAUAUGAACAAGAAGACCUAGGUGGUUGCUGCAAGUUGUUGUGCACAGGCGGAGGAUUGAUGUCAAUGCUGAUCCUUUUCUUCUUGGCCUCAUCUCCACCUUCUUUUUUCUUGACCGGCCUUGAAUGCUCUGGUAACCAUCUGAUAAAAUCCGUACUGCAUACCCAGGUUUCCUUGGAUACCUCCAUUGACAGCUUGGGCUCACACAUCAUUAACAACAAGCAUUCUGGUAACACAGGCUGACUUUCACUCUCCUUCGACUUCAAAUCACUUUGACCUUCUUGGCCUGUCGGGUCUAAGGAUUUGGAUCUUUCAUGGGCCACUGUAUCUUCUUCUUCUUCUUCUUCUUCCUCCUCCUCCUCUUCUUGCAUGCAGGUUGAAUCUCUCUUUUCAUUUGUUUCUUGUCUUGCAAAUUCUUCUGCUAAAGCUCGAGCAGUCUCUGCUGAUUUUGAUUCUUGGUCUUCUACUAAGUCUUGGCCAGCUUCUUCGGAUUCUUUUUGAUGUACGGACACGUUGUCAUCACUGAAAUUUCUCUCUUGUUCGUCGUCUUCUGCUCUGCUGAGCCUUCGUUCUAUAUUAUCUUCACUUUCUUGGAGCAACUCCUCUUCAUUUUCAUCAUCUUUCAAGUACUCUGGAUCUUCGGUUUCUUCCCGUGAAGGAGAAGAAUCAUCCAAUAGAGUUUCUUGCUGCUGGUUCACCUGAAUUUCUGUUUUCUCUUCUUGCUCUUCUAAAUUCCCUUCCUUCACACAACGUAUUUCUGUGCUGCUCUCUUGGCAAUCUUCUCCCUCCAAAUUAACCAGACUCGCUUCAGUUUCUUGAAUUUGAUGCUCUUCAACGGCUUCACAAGAAACCCAACUUUCGUUUAUCAAAUCCCCUCCAUGCUUCAUUUCUUGCUCAAGUUGUGUUCUUUGCCUCUCUUCAUCGUGACCUGCUUCAACUUCUACGUUUUCCUUUUCUUCUUCCUCUUUUCCAUCAUCUUCACCAGCUUCCUCAUCCUCAUCAUUUGGAAGCGGUGCUUCCCAGAAUUUAUUAGCAAGAGCAGCCAUUCUCACAGGGUCAGAUCUGCACCUCAUCAACAACAAAGCAUUCUUUGGUGGGAUGCAAAUACUGACCCUUGCUUCCUCUUCUUGCAUACUUUCGUUUCCUUC